Molecule: ribosomal RNA, 425 nt
Filed under: uncultured bacterium
Lineage: Bacteria
Description: partial 16S ribosomal RNA
Rfam family: Bacterial small subunit ribosomal RNA
Source: RNAcentral
GUGGGGAAUAUUGGACAAUGGGCGCAAGCCUGAUCCAGCAAUGCCGCGUGGGUGAAGAAGGUCUUCGGAUCGUAAAGCCCUUUCGACAGGGACGAUGAUGACGGUACCUGUAGAAGAAGCCCCGGCUAACUUCGUGCCAGCAGCCGCGGUAAUACGAAGGGGGCUAGCGUUACUCGGAAUUACUGGGCGUAAAGGGCGCGUAGGCGGCUCUGUUAGUCAGGCGUGAAAUUCCUGGGCUUAACCUGGGGACUGCGCUUGAUACUGCAGGGCUUGAGGCCGAGAGAGGGUGGUGGAAUUCCCAGUGUAGAGGUGAAAUUCGUAGAUAUUGGGAAGAACACCGGUGUCGAAGGCGACCACCUGGCUCGGUUCUGACGCUGAGGCGCGACAGCGUGGGGAGCAAACAGGAUUAGAAACCCCUGUAGUCC